UACGUAGGGGGCGAGCGUUGUCCGGAAUCAUUGGGCGUAAAGGGCGCGUAGGCGGCCUGGUAAGCGUGCGGUGAAAGCCCGGGGCUCAACCCCGGGUCGGCCGUGCGAACUGCGAGGCUGGAGCACUGUAGAGGCAGGUGGAAUUCCGGGUGUAGCGGUGGAAUGCGUAGAGAUCCGGAAGAACACCGGUGGCGAAGGCGGCCUGCUGGGCAGUGGCUGACGCUGAGGCGCGACAGCGUGGGGAGCAAACAGG
This 253-nucleotide ribosomal RNA is filed under the name uncultured bacterium. RNAcentral's name for it is "partial 16S ribosomal RNA". It matches the Rfam family "Bacterial small subunit ribosomal RNA", at positions 524 to 776 of the family's 1533-position model. The record is from RNAcentral.